GGGGAUUUUGCUCAGUGGUAGAGCACUUGCCUAGCAAGCGCAAGGCCCUGGGUUCAGUCCCCA
Molecule: transfer RNA, 63 nt
Filed under: Rattus norvegicus (Norway rat)
Lineage: Eukaryota; Metazoa; Chordata; Mammalia; Rodentia; Muridae
Rfam family: tRNA
About the family: Transfer RNA (tRNA) molecules are approximately 80 nucleotides in length. Their secondary structure includes four short double-helical elements and three loops (D, anti-codon, and T loops).
Source: Rfam by way of RNAcentral